Molecule: ribosomal RNA, 396 nt
Filed under: uncultured bacterium
Lineage: Bacteria
Description: partial 16S ribosomal RNA
Rfam family: Bacterial small subunit ribosomal RNA
Source: RNAcentral
AUACGUAGGGGGCGAGCGUUGUCCGGAAUGAUUGGGCGUAAAGGGCGCGUAGGCGGCGCGGUAAGUCUGGAGUGAAAGUCCUGCUUUCAAGGUGGGAAUUGCUUUGGAUACUGCCGCGCUUGAGUGCAGGAGAGGUUAUCGGAAUUCCCGGUGUAGCGGUGAAAUGCGUAGAGAUCGGGAGGAACACCAGUGGCGAAGGCGGGUAACUGGACUGCAACUGACGCUGAGGCGCGAAAGUGUGGGGAGCAAACAGGAUUAGAUACCCUGGUAGUCCACGCGGUAAACGAUGAUCACUAGGUGUCGGCGGCCAUAGGCGGUCGGUGCCGCAGCAAACGCAAUAAGUGAUCCACCUGGGGAGUACGUUCGCAAGAAUGAAACUCAAAUGAAUUGACGGGG